UGAACUUUGUUCUUUGUACCAAGUUUUUGACUUGGGCGCGUAGCUCAGGUGGUUAGAGCGCACGCCUGAUAAGCGUGAGGUCGGUGGUUCGAGUCCACUCGUGCCCAUAGUGUUUAGUCCAUUACUAGGGGAUUGGAAUAUUAUCUGUUCACUAAGAGGACACGGGCUUGUUCCCGUAUAAACUAUUUUGGAGGAUUACCCAAGUCCGGCUGAAGGGAACGGUCUUGAAAACCGUCAGGCGUGUAAAAGCGUGCGUGGGUUCGAAUCCCACAUCCUCCUUUUAUAUUAACGCGGGAUGGAGCAGCUCGGUAGCUCGUCGGGCUCAUAACCCGAAGGUCGUAGGUUCAAAUCCUGCUCCCGCAAUAAGGCUCGGUAGCUCAGUUGGUAGAGCAAUGGAUUGAAGCUCCAUGUGUCGGCGGUUCGAUUCCGUCUCGCGCCAUUUNNNNNNNNNNNGUGCCUUUUGUAGAAUGAACCGGCGAGUUACGAUCCCGUGCGAGGUUAAGCUGAAGAGGCGGAGCCGCAGCGAAAGCGAGUCUGAAUAGGGCGUUUAGUACGUGGUCGUAGACCCGAAACCAGGUGAUCUACCCAUGUCCAGGGUGAAGUUCAGGUAACACUGAAUGGAGGCCCGAACCCACGCACGUUGAAAAGUGCGGGGAUGAGGUGUGGGUAGCGGAGAAAUUCCAAUCGAACCUGGAGAUAGCUGGUUCUCCCCGAAAUAGCUUUAGGGCUAGCCUUAAGUGUAAGAGUCUUGGAGGUAGAGCACUGAUUGGACUAGGGGUCCUCAUCGGAUUACCGAAUUCAGUCAAACUCCGAAUGCCAAUGACUUAUCCUUAGGAGUCAGACUGCGAGUGAUAAGAUCCGUAGUCAAAAGGGAAACAGCCCAGACCGCCAGCUAAGGUCCCAAAGUGUGUAUUAAGUGGAAAAGGAUGUGGAGUUGCUUAGACAACUAGGAUGUUGGCUUAGAAGCAGCCACCAUUUAAAGAGUGCGUAAUAGCUCACUAGUCGAGUGACUCUGCGCCGAAAAUGUACCGGGGCUAAAUACACCACCGAAGCUGCGGAUUGAUACCAAUGGUAUCAGUGGUAGGGGAGCGUUCUAAGGACAGUGAAGUCAGACCGGAAGGACUGGUGGAGUGCUUAGAAGUGAGAAUGCCGGUAUGAGUAGCGAAAGACGGGUGAGAAUCCCGUCCACCGAAUGCCUAAGGUUUCCUGAGGAAGGCUCGUCCGCUCAGGGUUAGUCAGGACCUAAGCCGAGGCCGACAGGCGUAGGCGAUGGACAACAGGUUGAUAUUCCUGUACCACCUCUUUAUCGUUUGAGCAAUGGAGGGACGCAGAAGGAUAGAAGAAGCGUGCGAUUGGUUGUGCACGUCCAAGCAGUUAGGCUGAUAAGUAGGCAAAUCCGCUUAUCGUAAAGGCUGAGCUGUGAUGGGGAAGCUCCUUAUGGAGCGAAGUCUUUGAUUCCCCGCUGCCAAGAAAAGCUUCUAGCGAGAUAAAAGGUGCCUGUACCGCAAACCGACACAGGUAGGCGAGGAGAGAAUCCUAAGGUGUGCGAGAGAACUCUGGUUAAGGAACUCGGCAAAAUGACCCCGUAACUUCGGGAGAAGGGGUGCUUUCUUAACGGAAAGCCGCAGUGAAUAGGCCCAAGCGACUGUUUAGCAAAAACACAGCUCUCUGCGAAGCCGUAAGGCGAAGUAUAGGGGGUGACACCUGCCCGGUGCUGGAAGGUUAAGGAGAGGGGUUAGCGUAAGCGAAGCUCUGAACUGAAGCCCCAGUAAACGGCGGCCGUAACUAUAACGGUCCUAAGGUAGCGAAAUUCCUUGUCGGGUAAGUUCCGACCCGCACGAAAGGUGUAACGAUUUGGGCACUGUCUCAACCAGAGACUCGGUGAAAUUAUAGUACCUGUGAAGAUGCAGGUUACCCGCGACAGGACGGAAAGACCCCGUGGAGCUUUACUGUAGCCUGAUAUUGAAUUUUGGUACAGUUUGUACAGGAUAGGCGGGAGCCAUUGAAACCGGAGCGCUAGCUUCGGUGGAGGCGCUGGUGGGAUACCGCCCUGACUGUAUUGAAAUUCUAACCUACGGGUCUUAUCGACCCGGGAGACAGUGUCAGGUGGGCAGUUUGACUGGGGCGGUCGCCUCCUAAAGUGUAACGGAGGCGCCCAAAGGUUCCCUCAGAAUGGUUGGAAAUCAUUCGUAGAGUGCAAAGGCAUAAGGGAGCUUGACUGCGAGACCUACAAGUCGAGCAGGGACGAAAGUCGGGCUUAGUGAUCCGGUGGUUCCGCAUGGAAGGGCCAUCGCUCAACGGAUAAAAGCUACCCCGGGGAUAACAGGCUUAUCUCCCCCAAGAGUCCACAUCGACGGGGAGGUUUGGCACCUCGAUGUCGGCUCAUCGCAUCCUGGGGCUGUAGUCGGUCCCAAGGGUUGGGCUGUUCGCCCAUUAAAGCGGCACGCGAGCUGGGUUCAGAACGUCGUGAGACAGUUCGGUCCCUAUCCGUCGCGGGCGUAGGAAAUUUGAGAGGAUCUGCUCCUAGUACGAGAGGACCAGAGUGGACUUACCGCUGGUGUACCAGUUGUCUUGCCAAAGGCAUCGCUGGGUAGCUAUGUAGGGAAGGGAUAAACGCUGAAAGCAUCUAAGUGUGAAACCCACCUCAAGAUGAGAUUUCCCAUGAUUAUAUAUCAGUAAGAGCCCUGAGAGAUGAUCAGGUAGAUAGGUUAGAAGUGGAAGUGUGGCGACACAUGUAGCGGACUAAUACUAAUAGCUCGAGGACUUAUCCAA
This 2772-nucleotide ribosomal RNA is filed under the name Streptococcus pneumoniae. Its description in RNAcentral is "23S ribosomal RNA". The stretch from base 396 to 2771 matches the Rfam family "Bacterial large subunit ribosomal RNA". Lineage: Bacteria; Bacillati; Bacillota; Bacilli; Lactobacillales; Streptococcaceae. The record is from RNAcentral.